GACUCAGCAGCUCACUGCCCGCUCUGCUUGUCCCUUUAACCGGAUUUCUUGCUCCAGUGGAGCUGUUCCCAGCCUGGCUGAAGCUCACAUGCCCGAUCUUGAAGCGAGCGAGAGCGCAAUUAUGCAGCAGGUGUAACGCCAGCUCGGGCGUGCGUCAGGCGCCGUGAGCUGGCAAAUCAUCGCUGGCGCUGCCACGGGGAGAAGAAGAGCAUCAGAUGCAGUUACAGCUCUCUACCUGGAGCAAUCAAACAUCAUCUCAGCUACUCUGGGAAAAGGUGUGCAAAAGGUCUGCUCCAUGCUCUGGGUGUCUGAGAAAUCAACACAGAACACAUCUCAGACUCUGCAUGGUAUCUUCACUCCUCCACAUGAACAAGAACAGAACUGACAAAAUUCUUCAGCUGAAACAUCUGAGGAAAGACAUCUCAUCAAAGAUGGACGUUUCCAUGGAAAUAUGUUUCGGAUGAAAUUUUUUGAGUCUUUCACAGAUAAAAUAUAAAUAACUGG
Molecule: long non-coding RNA, 504 nt
Organism: Vidua chalybeata
Lineage: Eukaryota; Metazoa; Chordata; Aves; Passeriformes; Viduidae
Exons: 3
Source: RefSeq, a predicted model, not a curated record